Molecule: long non-coding RNA, 666 nt
Filed under: Oryza sativa Indica Group (long-grained rice)
Lineage: Eukaryota; Viridiplantae; Streptophyta; Magnoliopsida; Poales; Poaceae
Description: lncRNA OsMH63_06G020050
Source: RNAcentral
GUGGUGUCGUCCUCCCACGCAUUCCAGAGGUGGAAGCAGAAGCAGCCGGGGACCUCCACCCACCAGAGCUCCGACGCGUCGGCGGCAACCAACGAACAAGCACCGGGCUGGGCAUGUGUGGAUUCUAAUGCUCAGGCACAACGGCCGGCGGUGGCUAGAGCACAUGGGAGAACGAAGGGAGAGCAUGUGGAGGGCUGGUUGCCCGUUUCCUCGUCGUUCGCCGCGAGGCGCUGGCUGCUGAUGGAGGGCGGCGGGGCGUCAGGAGUGGAGCUAGGCGGCGGUGGGCAACGAGAAAUGGCAGUCGCCAUUGGCUGCCGCGGAGGUGAAGGCAUGCGCCGUGGCGGUGGCUCGCCACUCACGGACGACGCUGGUGGUGAGGGCAGGACUAGCUCUAAGUCAUGGCUCCUCAGGGCGAUGACGUCCCAUGUGAGGUCGGUGGUCCCCAGUGUCCUCAAUGGAGCGUCGACAAAGGCAAACACUAGGAAGAGGAAGACAAGAGAAGGGAGGGGACGCGCAAGAUUGUGGACAAGCUCCGCCACCGCUCUCCCCUACCGGGCACCGGUUGUGCCGCGCGUCUCCUAUCUUCCCCGGCCUAUGCCCGUCUUCACCACCAAGCGCCUUCACAUCUCUUCUCCCCUGCCGGUAGCCGCCCGUCUUCGCCAUUGA